Molecule: unclassified non-coding RNA, 345 nt
Filed under: soil metagenome
Description: partial contains 5.8S ribosomal RNA, internal transcribed spacer 2, and large subunit ribosomal RNA
Rfam family: 5.8S ribosomal RNA (bases 1-119)
Source: RNAcentral
GAUGAAGAACGUAGCGAAAUGCGAUACGUAAUGUGAAUUGCAAAUUCAGUGAAUCAUCGAGUCUUUGAACGCACAUUGCGCCCCCUGGUAUUCCGGGGGGCAUGCCUGUCCGAGCGUCAUUGCUGCCCCCAAGCACGGCUUGUGUGUUGGGCCCCGUCCUCCGAUCCCGGGGGACGGGCCCGAAAGGCAGCGGCGGCACCGCGUCCGGUCCUCGAGCGUAUGGGGCUUUGUCACCCGCUCCGUAGGCCCGGCCGGCGCUUGCCGAUCAACCCAAAUUUUUAUCCAGGUUGACCUCGGAUCAGGUAGGGAUACCCGCUGAACUUAAGCAUAUCAAUAAGCGGAGGA